RNAcentral lists this ribosomal RNA (382 nucleotides) under Ornithuroscincus noctua. RNAcentral's name for it is "partial small subunit ribosomal RNA". It matches the Rfam family "Bacterial small subunit ribosomal RNA", at positions 794 to 1384 of the family's 1533-position model. The record is from RNAcentral. Lineage: Eukaryota; Metazoa; Chordata; Lepidosauria; Squamata; Scincidae.
GCUUGGCCAUAAACACAGAUAUUUUAGUACAUUAUUAUCCGCCAGAGUACUACAAGCGAAAAGCUAGAAACUCCAAGGACUUGGCGGUGCUUCAAACCAACCUAGAGGAGCCUGUCCUAUAAUCGAUACCCCACGUUUUACCUCACCCACACUAGCCAGCCAGCCUAUAUACCGCCGUCGUCAGCCUACCUUAUGAAAGAACCAAAGUAGGCAAAAUAGUUAAACAACUAAUACGUCAGGUCAAGGUGUAGCACAUGUGUGGGAAGAGAUGGGCUACAUUUUCAAAACGAACAUACGAACAAUAUGUUGAAACACAUAUUUAAAGGUGGAUUUAGUAGUAAAUUAUAAAGAAAAGCAUCUUGAAACCCGCUCUGAAGCGCGC